This 376-nucleotide RNase P RNA is filed under the name Salinivirgaceae bacterium. RNAcentral describes it as "RNase P RNA component class A". It matches the Rfam family "Bacterial RNase P class A". Rfam says of the family: Ribonuclease P (RNase P) is a ubiquitous endoribonuclease, found in archaea, bacteria and eukarya as well as chloroplasts and mitochondria. Lineage: Bacteria; Pseudomonadati; Bacteroidota; Bacteroidia; Bacteroidales; Salinivirgaceae. The record is from RNAcentral.
AUAGCAGGCCGUCCUGUCGCGCUGCGCAAGCAGUGAGGAAAGUCUGGGCAACACAGAGCGCCGACCUUCCGAAAGAAAGGCGUCCGUGAGGGUGCAGAAGGGUAGAAGAAAAUAACCGCCGCGCAAGCGGUAAGGGUGAGAAGGCGGUGUAAGAGACCACCAAUGCCGCGGGCGACCGUGGCAGUUGUGCCCCUGUCGGGUUGAAAGGCCACGUAUAUCGCAAGCCGCUUCGGCGGGCAAGGCUGCUCGUCUUGUUUUUGGCGACAAAGGUUGCGAGGGGUAGGCCGAUAGUGGUUGCGGGCAACCGCAAUUCGAGAUAAAUGACAGGACCUUGCUCCGGCAAGGACAGAACUUGGCUUACAGGCCUGCUAUCUUU